GGCCGUCAAUUCCUUUAAGUUUCAGCCUUGCGACCAUACUCCCCAGGCGGGGUACUUAACACUUUUGCUUCGACUGUGAACCCAUGAAAGUCCACAAUCUAGUACCCAUAGUUUAGGGCUAGGACUACCGGGGUAUCUAAUCCCGUUUGAUCCCCUAGCUUUCGCGCCUCAGCGUCAGAAGAGGUCCAGCACAUCGCUUUCGCCACUGGCGUUCCUUCAGAUAUCUACGCAUUUCACCGCUCCACCUGAAGUUCCACAUGCCCCUACCUCCCUCUAGACAAUCAGUAUCAAAGGCACUUCUCCAGUUAAGCUGGAGGAUUUCACCAUUGACUUGAUCACCCGCCUACGCGCCCUUUAAGCCCAGUGAUUCCGAAUAACGUUUGCACGGUUCGUCUUACCG
Molecule: unclassified non-coding RNA, 400 nt
Filed under: uncultured fungus
Lineage: Eukaryota; Fungi
Description: sequence contains ITS1
Source: RNAcentral